RNAcentral lists this ribosomal RNA (469 nucleotides) under uncultured bacterium. RNAcentral's name for it is "partial 16S ribosomal RNA". It matches the Rfam family "Bacterial small subunit ribosomal RNA", at positions 28 to 508 of the family's 1533-position model. The record is from RNAcentral.
GACGAACGCUGGCGGCGUGCUUAACACAUGCAAGUCGAACGGAAAGGCCCUGCUUUUGUGGGGUGCUCGAGUGGCGAACGGGUGAGUAACACGUGAGUAACCUGCCCUUGACUUUGGGAUAACUUCAGGAAACUGGGGCUAAUACCGGAUAGGAGCUCCUGCUGCAUGGUGGGGGUUGGAAAGUUUCGGCGGUUGGGGAUGGACUCGCGGCUUAUCAGCUUGUUGGUGGGGUAGUGGCUUACCAAGGCUUUGACGGGUAGCCGGCCUGAGAGGGUGACCGGCCACAUUGGGACUGAGAUACGGCCCAGACUCCUACGGGAGGCAGCAGUGGGGAAUAUUGCACAAUGGGCGGAAGCCUGAUGCAGCAACGCCGCGUGCGGGAUGACGGCCUUCGGGUUGUAAACCGCUUUCGCCUGUGCCGAAGCGUGAGUGACGGUAAUGGGUAAAGAAGCACCGGCUAACUACGUGC